UGAAGAUUUUAUUUUAAAAACCAGUGGGAAAGAGUGGGGUUUUUUUUUUUUUUUUUUUUUUUGGUAUGUCUGCAUCAUUCAGGCAGUACAUCUGAAUUGAGCUGAAUGUAGACAAAUAAAGAAAAAACAAAAUUCUGCGCCCGUCGUAGCCCUGGGUGUCUGGCCCACCUGCAGCAGGAUGGGCAGGGUGCUGCCACCCUGUUCCCAGCACAGGAAGGCAGGGUGUGGGGGCAGUGCAGCUCCUGGUCACUAGAGAGGUCCAGGGCCAGCGACCCAGUGUCCUGGGAGCUUGGAGACCUAGUGCUGCAGCGACCCCGCAACCUCCGUUCUCCCGAUGGCCUGCAGGGCAGCUUCCAGAGGCCCACACUGCUGUUUGGGUUUUGCUCACACAUAAUUGGGCAGGGUUUAUUUUCUACUCUAUGCAUUCUAAUAGAGUUUUUAAGUGCAAUUUCAAAUCACUGUGGAGUAAGGUGAUUCCCGUACGUCAGUACACAUAGCCGACUUUGAAGAAGCCCAGCUGAAUCUGGCUGAAGGUUCCCAAGAUCUGGGGAAUGCAGCCCCAGAACCAUCGCUGCAAGCAGGGCACUUCAUGUCUCCAGCAGCCCCUGCCUGGGGCCUGUCCCACUGAGUACACUUUUGGGAUGCCUCUCCAUCUUGGGCAUUUGCAGUGUUUGGGAGACAUUUGUCACCUAGGGGUUAUCAAUGUGCAGAUGGAGGAGUGGCCACCCCCCUCCCCAAGCAGCCCUUCUCAACUCCGGCCCUGCCCCAGGGAGAGAGUGGUGUUACCUGCCUGUCUGGAAGGAGCUCCUCGGUGAGGCCUGGGACUGCCUGUCUGCAGAAACCCAUCUAGUCUUGCCUCUCCACUCUUAGACCGUGUACUGUUCAUGUUCUGAGCCCCAGGUGGCAGCCUGGCCUCCCACGCUUGGUUAACCUUGGCCAUUGGAAGAAGUGUGAACCAUUCUUGAUGCAGAGGCACUCAACUGAGGCAGAAACCAUCCAGCAUGCCUUCAGAGGAUAAAGAUUUGCCUCCUUGGGGAGGUGAAGGAAAGGUGAUUGCACUAAAAAAAAACAUAAGAAUUUUGUCAACUGCCAGAGCAGAGGCGGCUCUGGAUAUCAAAUGGUCCAGCUUGGGGAAUGGGGCCUGAAGUGCCCUGGUAUCCCUUCAGUAUAUGUGCUAGUGGAGAUCGAUGCAGGGGCUCCACCGAGAGAGACCCACAACGAGAUCCCUGGGAUCCUGUGCUUGAGAUGAUAAAGGUGUGGGCAGAAGCUGUGUCACUCAGAAGUCCGUGGAGAGGAACACUCCUGUGCCGCCUGCCACAUGACUUUAGCUCUGGACCUGCAUUCUCCACACAGGUUUCACCAUGGGUUUCCCAACAGCAUCCGCCGCCACCAUUCACAUUUCUGGAUGCUGACACCACAAGGGACACCAUCUCAAGAUCAAAGAAAGCAGCGGAGGAAGAUGUCCCUGUGGUGACAACGUCUUCACGGACUUGGGACUUGCUGCCAUGGCCUUCUCUUGGGGGAAGGGCUGGGGCCCAGGUGGCUUAUCUUUGAUGGAGGCCUGACCGAGUCCCUCCCACCAUCAGGACAAGUUUAUUGGGAAGAAGCAGGAUUGCCGUCUUGCCGCCUCCAGCUCCUGGUGGCUCCAGGCAUCCCUUGGUUUGUGACAGCAUAAUGCCAGUCUCCGCCUGUGUCUUCACAUGAACUUUUCCUGUGAGUCUUUGUGUAAGGAUAACGGUCACUGGAUUUGGGCGCACCCUGGUCUAGGAUGCAUUCUUGCCAUGAUCCUUUUUGAAAAAAAAUCUAAAAAGAUAUGUUCCCAGAUCCCUCGUCACCCUGACUCUGCUCAGGGACCUUGGUGGCGGUGAUGCAGCUGACCAUGGACAGUAUCCCAGCCCUUGGGACCUACCACCGCAGGAAGCUGGAUUCAGCAAGAUGUGGCUACACCUUAGCAUGGAGAAGGCCUUGCUGCUCACACCUCACCUCUUCAGAGCUGAUCCAAGCUUACCCAGGCCUGUUGCCCUCUAAGCCUUGGAGGCCAGUGUGGAGGAGGUGGUCUCCAGCUCCUCCUCAGCCAUGGCCAUGGUAGGCAACAGCUGGCUUAUGGAGAGACACGUUGGCCCAUGUGUUGCUGGAGGAUGGUGUCGUGUCCUUGAGUCACCAGCAGACAGCACCAGGAGCCUCAGCACAAGGAUCGAUUGGUGGCCCACACCUUUAGCAAGUUGAUCAGGACAGGGUACUUGGUUGGAUAGGCCGUGGGGGUCAAUGACCUGGGACCAGACACCACCCUGAAGGGUGUUUUUGGAGGGAAGGUAGGAAGGGAGAAAGUAUUAUGACUUAAUGCCUCAUGGUGGUAAGAGAUGAUGUCACAGGGAAGGACAGGGCCUUGCCAGGAAUUUGAACUGGUCACAGGGUGUAAGUACUGGGGACUAGUGACCUCCGACGAAAGAGGGCCUUUAGUAGCAAUGGUGGAGACAAAAAUCGGGGACAUACGCCUCUCUAGAUUUGCAGUCACCGGGGCCCUGGUUGUGCCUAGGUGCAGUCUGAGCUGCCCGACUACCCUCUACCCUAACAGGGAGACAUUCAUUUGUUCUCUCUGACCAUUAGCCCGUUCUGGUGUAAUCAGCUGGGCUGUCCAGCCUCAGGAUUCGGUGUCCAGGUGUGAGCCUUAUGGGGCUCUUCCUUCCCUUCACAGGCCUGUUCUAAAACCUCUGGACACAAUUUUGUGCAGCAAUGCAGCACACAUUUUUGGCUGAAAUGCUCAUUCUAACCCACUCCAGAAUAAAUGAAAAUUUACUGUGCUCA
Molecule: non-coding RNA, 2805 nt
Organism: Odocoileus virginianus texanus
Lineage: Eukaryota; Metazoa; Chordata; Mammalia; Artiodactyla; Cervidae
Source: RefSeq, a predicted model, not a curated record